AUUGAACGCUGGCGGCAUGCCUUACACAUGCAAGUCGAACGGCAGCAUAGGAGCUUGCUCCUGAUGGCGAGUGGCGAACGGGUGAGUAAUAUAUCGGAACGUGCCCUAGAGUGGGGGAUAACUAGUCGAAAGACUAGCUAAUACCGCAUACGAUCUACGGAUGAAAGUGGGGGAUCGCAAGACCUCAUGCUCCUGGAGCGGCCGAUAGCAGAUUAGCUAGUUGGUGGGGUAAAAGCCGACCAAGGCGAAGAUCAGUAGCUGGUCUGAGAGGACGACCCGCGACACUGGGACUGAGACACGGCCCAGACUCCUACGGGAGGAAGCAGUGGGGAAUUUUGGACAAUGGGGGCAACCCUGAUCCAGCAAUGCCGCGUGAGUGAAGAAGGCCUUCGGGUUGUAAAGCUCUUUUGUCAGGGAAGAAACGGUAGUAGCUAAUAUCUAUUACUAAUGACGGUACCUGAAGAAUAAGCACCGGCUAACUACGUGCCAGCCGCCGCCGUAA
RNAcentral lists this ribosomal RNA (502 nucleotides) under uncultured bacterium. RNAcentral's name for it is "partial 16S ribosomal RNA". It matches the Rfam family "Bacterial small subunit ribosomal RNA", at positions 30 to 523 of the family's 1533-position model. The record is from RNAcentral.